RNAcentral lists this ribosomal RNA (250 nucleotides) under uncultured bacterium. RNAcentral's name for it is "partial 16S ribosomal RNA". It matches the Rfam family "Bacterial small subunit ribosomal RNA", at positions 524 to 773 of the family's 1533-position model. The record is from RNAcentral.
UACGUAGGGUGCGAGCGUUAAUCGGAAUUACUGGGCGUAAAGAGUGCGCAGGCGGCUCUCUAAGACAGGUGUGAAAUCCCCGGGCUUAACCUGGGAAUGGCGCUUGUGACUGGAGAGCUAGAGUGUGGCAGAGGGGAAUGGAAUUCCUGGUGUAGCAGUGAAAUGCGUAGAUAUCAGGAGGAACACCGAUGGCGAAGGCAGUUCCCUGGGCCAACACUGACGCUCAUGCACGAAAGCGUGGGGAGCAAAC